Molecule: transfer RNA, 72 nt
Filed under: Camelus bactrianus (Bactrian camel)
Lineage: Eukaryota; Metazoa; Chordata; Mammalia; Artiodactyla; Camelidae
Also listed under: 1 other name
Rfam family: tRNA
About the family: Transfer RNA (tRNA) molecules are approximately 80 nucleotides in length. Their secondary structure includes four short double-helical elements and three loops (D, anti-codon, and T loops). Further hydrogen bonds mediate the characteristic L-shaped molecular structure. tRNAs have two regions of fundamental functional importance: the anti-codon, which is responsible for specific mRNA codon recognition, and the 3' end, to which the tRNAs corresponding amino acid is attached (by aminoacyl-tRNA synthetases). tRNAs cope with the degeneracy of the genetic code in two manners: having more than one tRNA (with a specific anti-codon) for a particular amino acid; and 'wobble' base-pairing, i.e. permitting non-standard base-pairing at the 3rd anti-codon position.
Source: Rfam by way of RNAcentral
GUGGGUAUAGCUCAGUGGUAGAGCACAUGCUUAGCAUGCACGAGGUCCUGGGUUCAACCCCCAGUACCUCCG